This 899-nucleotide ribosomal RNA is filed under the name uncultured archaeon. RNAcentral's name for it is "bacterial SSU rRNA". It matches the Rfam family "Archaeal small subunit ribosomal RNA", at positions 19 to 924 of the family's 1478-position model. The record is from RNAcentral.
GGAGGUUACUGCUAUCGAGCUCGACUAAGCCAUGCGAGUCGAAUGUAGCAAUACAUGGCGUACUGCUCAGUAACACGUGGACAACAUACCCUUGAGACGGGGAUAAACCCGGGAAACUGGGUAUAAUACCCGAUAGAUCUCGACUGCUGGAAUGCAUCGAGCUCCAAAGCUCCGGCGCUCAAGGAUGGGUAUGCGGCUUAUCAGGUAGUAGUGGGUGUAGCGUACCUACUAGCAUACGACGGGUACGGGUUGUGAGAGCAAGAGCCCGGAGAUGGAUUCUGAGACACGAAUCCAGGCCAUACGGGGUGCAGCAGGCUCGAAAACUUUACAAUGCCGGCAACGGCGAUAAGGGGACCUUGAGUGCCAGGUUACAAAUCUGGUUGUCGUGAUGCCUAAAAAGCAUUGCAUAGCAAGGUCCGGGCAAGACCGGUGCCAGCCGCCGCGGUAACACCGGCGGCUGGAGUGGUAACCGUUAUUAUUGGGUUUAAAGGGUCUGUAGCCGUCCGGAUAAGUCUCUUGGGAAAUCUGGCAGUUUAACUCUCAGGCUUUCAGGAGAUACUGUAUGGCUGGAGGCCGGGAGAGGUGAGAGGUACUUCAGGGGUAGGGGUGAAAUCUUGUAAUCCUUGAAGGACCACCAGUGGGGAAGGCGUCUCACCAGAACGGUCCUGACGGCAAGGGACGAAAGCUAGGGGCACGAACCGGAUUAGAUACCCGGGUAGUCCUAGCCGUAAACGAUACUCGCUAGGUGUCGGCCACGGUGCGACUGUUGUCGGUGCCGUAGGGAAGCCGUGAGGUGAGCCACCUGGGAAGUACGGCCGCAAGGCUGAAACUUAAAGGAAUUGGCGGGGGAGCACCACAACGGGUGGAGCUUGCGGUUUAAUUGGAUUCAACGCCGGAAA